AUAAGAUCCGGGAGUGUGAGGGGAUACGAUCCGAGAGAGUGUGAGGGUAUAAGAUCCGGGAGUGUGAGGGGAUAAGAUCCGAGAGAGUGUGAGGGUAUAAGAUCCGGGAGUGUGAGGGUAUAAGAUCCGGGAGUGUGAGGGUAUAAGAUCCGGGAGUGUGAGGGUAUAAGAUCCGAGAGUGUAAGGGUAGAAGAUCCGGAGAGUGUGAGGGUAGAAGAUCCGGGAGUGUGAGGGUAUAAGAUCCGAGAGAGUGUGAGGGUAUACGAUCCGGGAGAGUGUGAGGGUAUAAGAUCCGGAGAGUGUGAGGGGAUAAGAUCCGGAGAGUGUGAGGGGAUAAGAUCCGAGAGAGUGUGAGGUAUAAGAUCCCGGAGAGUGUGAGGGUAUAAGAUCCGAAAGAGUGUGAAGGUAUAAGAUCCGAGAGAGUGUGAGGGGAUAAGAUCCGGAGAGUGUGAGGGUAUACGAUCCGAGAGUGUGAGGGUAUAAGAUCCGGAGUGUGAGGGGAUAAGAUCCGAGAGAGUGUGAGGGUAUAAGAUCCGAGAGAGUGUGAGGGUAUAAGAUCCGAGAGAGUGUGAGGGUAUAAGAUCCGAGAGAGUGUGAGGGUAUACGAUCCGAGAGAGUGUGAGGGUAUACGAUCCGAGAGAGUGUGAGGGUAUA
Long non-coding RNA from Ictalurus punctatus (channel catfish), 654 nucleotides. The record is from Ensembl. NCBI's taxonomy places the organism in Eukaryota, Metazoa, Chordata, Actinopteri, Siluriformes, Ictaluridae.